CCAGCUCCGCAAUAUUUCUCUAUUCACUUCUUUAUUUUUCUCCUACUUUCUGAACUUAAGAAAAUUUGAUCUGAGAAUGGCCAAGAUUGCAAGAGUACUAAGAUUAGUUGCAACAGAAGUUGCUCCACCAAGAUUUGUACAUGUGGUUAAACGCCCAACUAGUAAGGUUUUGGCUACCAUCAAUGAAGAGGAGGCUUGCGCCUGAAACCUUAUCAAGCAUCUUUUUGUCCUAUGGUUUUCUACCUUUUUUCUGCAUUUUUCAGAAGUAUCUAUUAUAGUUUACAGCAUGUGUGCCACAAAUACAUUCUGGCUAUGCUUGCUUCUUAGCUCUAAUAUUCACCCCAUUUUUCAAUAUUUUUUUUUAAUUCUUUUCUUUUGCUUUUCCGCUUGGUGCUCGGUAUCUGCUUUGGAAGCACUCUAUACCAGAAUUUUUUUUCCAAGUGAGAGAGGUAGAGUAUAAAUGGCUGCCAUGUCAGUUAAUAAUAGCAUUGAAGAAUUUUCCUAUUGUUAUUUAUUAUUUGAGACACUCUCCUCAUUUUCAUUAUUUUUAUAAGUAUCAGUUUCAAUGAUUAAUUACUGAUGUUGAUAUCAUAUCAGGCAGUACUUGGAUGACACUGAUAAGAAUACCUAAAGAAAAAACACAGGGAAAAUGGACAUCUUCAAUGGACGGAUUCACAAACCUCGUCCUAAAAGAAUUUGGCCACAUUCUCGGUCUUUAGCACGAAUGAGACAAAAACGCACGACACAAUUGAACCGUUGAUGCAUGGUCUCUUUUUGGAAUGACGUCAUUAGCCGCAUGCGUCAUUAUUACUUUUGUUCCCGAGGUAGUUCAGUUGGUGAUGUGACGUUCUGGUUUCCCGCGCCUGUUCUGAUCGUACCUUUUCGAUUGCCCUGUAACUUCAUCUUAUAAAUAGGAGAAAGGUUAGAAUCGAU
Molecule: long non-coding RNA, 933 nt
Filed under: Nicotiana benthamiana
Lineage: Eukaryota; Viridiplantae; Streptophyta; Magnoliopsida; Solanales; Solanaceae
Description: long non-coding RNA (NBEN_LNC039680)
Source: RNAcentral